UGGGGCGUGGCCAAGUGGUAAGGCAGCGGGUUUUGGUCCCGUUACUCGAAGGUUCGAAUCCUUCCGUCCCAG
This 72-nucleotide transfer RNA is filed under the name Triticum aestivum (bread wheat). It matches the Rfam family "tRNA". Rfam says of the family: Transfer RNA (tRNA) molecules are approximately 80 nucleotides in length. Their secondary structure includes four short double-helical elements and three loops (D, anti-codon, and T loops). The record is from Rfam by way of RNAcentral. Lineage: Eukaryota; Viridiplantae; Streptophyta; Magnoliopsida; Poales; Poaceae. RNAcentral also lists the same sequence under 2 other names.